This 270-nucleotide ribosomal RNA is filed under the name uncultured bacterium. Its description in RNAcentral is "partial 16S ribosomal RNA". It matches the Rfam family "Bacterial small subunit ribosomal RNA", at positions 793 to 1055 of the family's 1533-position model. The record is from RNAcentral.
GUCCACGCUGUAAACGAUGUCAACUAGAUGUAGGGGGUGUUGAUCCCUUCUGUGUCGCAGCUAACGCAUUAAGUUGACCGCCUGGGGAGUACGGUCGCAAGAUUAAAACUCAAAGGAAUUGACGGGGGCCCGCACAAGCGGUGGAGUAUGUGGUUUAAUUCGAUGCAACGCGAAGAACCUUACCUGGUCUUGACAUCCCAGAAAUCCCUUGGAAACUUGGGAGUGCUUCCAUUAGGAAGAAUCUGGAGACAGGUGCUGCAUGGCUGUCGU